This is a long non-coding RNA of Calidris pugnax (ruff), 1269 nucleotides long. RefSeq lists it as uncharacterized. The transcript is spliced from 2 exons. The record is from RefSeq and is a predicted model, not a curated record. NCBI's taxonomy places the organism in Eukaryota, Metazoa, Chordata, Aves, Charadriiformes, Scolopacidae.
UUUCUCUCUCAAUUCUUCAUAGGGGAUCUGAAGACACUGCCUUGCUGUUUCUCAAGGAAAUAUACAGGACUAUGAAUAUCAAUCCUGAACAGCCACAACAUUGAUGUAUAGAUACAGGAAUUUCCAUCCUGUUGCUCCGACAGACCUGGUGAAAAACACUUUGAAGAACAUCUAGUAUUUUCCUAGUUACAGAUGACAGGAUGAGCGACAGACUUUUUUUUCUGCCAGUCCAGAACUUGCUCAGAUUCUACCUUCUUUUGUCACUUCAAGCAAACUUAAAUUUUGAGAUGAUCAGCGCUGUCAUUCAAGGGAUGGAUGGAAUGACACAAUUUUGAUCUUAAAUCAGUUUAAUUGUACAGUUGCCAAGUAUAAAGUGAUCGCUGAAGGUUUUUUUUGGCGUGCAAAUCAUUAUUUCUCUCCUUCAGCUAUCCUGUAUCAGCUGGCAGUCAAACAGGCUUUGCCUACCAAGGCAGCACGUCCUCAUUAAAAAAGACUUGUUGAGAAACAGCAAUGAUCUGCUUUUCUUGACAUGUUUAUGGGUCCACCUUUAAAAAAUAAAAUGUGAACUGUAGUUCUAACCAUCUUUAAUACAGAUUACACAAACCAGUUCGUAUUUACUAAAAACUAGCAACCAGAAUAAUUUUCUUACUAUUGUAAGUGUGAUGGAGAUUAUUUUGUAAAGACCUUUUUAAGCCUCUGUUAAGAGUUUUAUUGUGAAGGUUUUUUUAAGUAAAAAUGACCUUUUGACUUUGAAAAUGUUAGAAGUUUGUUACAGCUAGUUCAGUGUUCACACCUCCUGAAAUGAAGAACAAUUUAAAAUAACAUUUUGGUCUGGUAAUUAAAGUAAUUUUUGUGAAAAAAGGCUGCGGUUGUGAGAACUAAAAUACCCUUGACCUUGCACUUUAAUAUCUCAAAACAGCAGAAGUAAAUGGAUUAAUCUGAAGCUCAUGGGCACUAGAUAAUAAUCUAGGCCCAGACCUGCAAUCCAGACUCAGUUUUCACGUAAUGAAGUUGGGAUGAAUUGGGUAUGAAAUCCUUUGAAUUCGUGUCUCUGAAUACUGAGCUUCUGUACCUUUCUUCUGGCUUCAACUUACAUGCAGAUUGUGGCUUUUCUUAAUAUUAGUGACUUAACCUUACUACUGACUAUUUGCCUCUUCUUGCAGUAAAUGAAUUUUGAAAUGCAGUAUGGUUUUUUUUCUUGGUAUAUGUAAAAUACACAGUAUUGUGCAUAUAUUUUUGGCUAUUAUAAUUAAAAAUACUUUACUUCCA